This 376-nucleotide ribosomal RNA is filed under the name uncultured organism. Its description in RNAcentral is "partial 16S ribosomal RNA". It matches the Rfam family "Bacterial small subunit ribosomal RNA", at positions 527 to 897 of the family's 1533-position model. The record is from RNAcentral.
GGAGGGUGCAAGCGUUAUUCGGAAUCACUGGGCGUAAAGAGCGCGUAGGCGGGUUUCUAAAGUCAGAUGUGAAAGCCCGGGGGCUCAACCCCCGGAAGUGCAUUUGAAACUUAGGGACUUGAGUAUGGGAGAGGGAAGUGGAAUUCCUGGUGUAGCGGUGAAAUGCGUAGAUAUCAGGAGGAACACCGGUGGCGAAGGCGACUUCCUGGACCAAUACUGACGCUGAGGCGCGAAGGCGUGGGGAGCAAACAGGAUUAGAUACCCUGGUAGUCCACGCAGUAAACGUUGAACACUAGGUGUAGCGGGUAUUGACCCCUGCUGUGCCGCAGCUAACGCAUUAAGUGUUCCGCCUGGGGAGUACGGCCGCAAAGGCUAA